This is a long non-coding RNA of Micropterus salmoides (largemouth bass), 1866 nucleotides long. RefSeq lists it as uncharacterized. The transcript is spliced from 2 exons. The record is from RefSeq and is a predicted model, not a curated record. Lineage: Eukaryota; Metazoa; Chordata; Actinopteri; Centrarchiformes; Centrarchidae.
CAUCAGUGAUAAGAAUUAUCAAGUUGAUUCUGGUGGUUGUGAUGCCAAUUGCUCUACUUCUGUUUUGUCUGAGGUGAAACUAUAAGAAUGAAUCAGUUCCAUCACUGACAUUUACUAUGAAUAUUUACUUUCAUAGUUUUGGAGUUAUCAAUUAAACUUUUUAUUUAUUUGUUUUUUGAUUCAAUUCAGGAAGAAGAAAACUCUGAGCUCCACCGCUGAACCAAAUGAACAGAUAGAGACUAUAGAGUUGAUGUCUGGUCCUGAUUGUACCAACGCCUCAGCCUUGAACCAAAACUGUAUGUGACUUUCUUCAGAUGGAGUCAAACCAGAGGGGACUCACCUGGAUCGGAACAAAGAAAAGCCACUGAAGUAGUCCAGUGUAGAACGAGGGAAGGUGGAGGAAGUUGAUACAUUUACCUUCAAGGAACGUUUUCAUUUUUAGUUUUUAUUAGCAGCAGCAUAUAUUUUUACCUGUGCAGGUACAUUACAUACGCUCAGUAUUUAACUCAGUAUGUAAAAUAUUAUUUAAAGUUUUAAUGUAAUAAAUAGUUUUUAAGAAAUACUGGUUGCCCUUUCACGUCACACCUGUCCUGGUAAUGAAAGCCAAUAAAGUCUGUUCAAAACAAACACAUUGAACAGGACAUAUCUCACAGCAUGUACUGUCUGUAUUUAAACACUGAAAUCAAACAGAAGCCGAGCUCUGUCACACUUUGCAAGUGUUUCAAUUUCAAAUUGUUGCAGCCAGCUUCCACAACAACUCUGCAGUUUGAUCAUCAUUUCAGUUUCCUCUCACUGCUGUAGAGGGUGACAGUGUGCAGGAAGUUUUAGAUUUCAGCUUUAAACAAACUGCUUGUGUUUAUCAUUCAGAACAAAGUUUGUAUUUAUCAGUAAUUUCUCAAAUGUUUGUAGGGGUCAGGGUAAUUUCUUUGGUUUAAAAAAACAGUUAAAAAAUACACCUAUCAGCCGUAAUGUUAUGACCACUUACAGGUGAUGCGAAUAACACCGAUUAUCUCGUUACCAUGGCACCUGUCAGUGGGUGUGAUAUAUCAGGCAGCAGGUAAACACUGUCUCAUAGUUGAUGUGCUACAAGCAGGAAAAAUUGGCUGUGUAACGCCUCAUGUCUCUGAACAGUGCUGCUGAAAAUGACAUGAUGUGGACGAGUUUCUUAAGUGUUAAAUAUAUAUAUAAUAUAAUGGCGGUUUUAUUCGUCCGCUUUAUUAUACACUGUACUUAGACUUUACAAAUUCUAACUUUUUGUGUCAUGAUUUACAUAAGAUCAAUCCAGGUUGUUGAGGGACUUUCCUUGCUCUGUAACGUCACAAAACAUUAACAAUGACUUUGAUGUGUCAUUAUCACACUGUCUGAGGCCAAACCAUUCUGAGUUACAGUACUUUGUAUGAGAUCAUUAGAAUAAGAAAUCCAAUUGUAUGGUCUGGCUUAGUGUUUAUAGAUGUGACCACUUUUUUGAACAUGUAUUUCUUAUGUGGGGACUAGGCCUGAAGGUUACCAUCUUUUCUGUUCAGUUCAAGUUCACCUUGUCAGCUUUUGUAUUUGACCUGUGAGAUCUCUUAAUACAGUCUCCAGACUCUACAGGCAUCAAUGCAACACAUUCUUUUCAUGUCUGAAAGUUUUCUUCUUGUAGAUGUUAAUUAGUCAUUACAAACUGAAUAAGAGCUGCAUGUUAUCAUCACAAACACUGAGUAUUGGGAAUGUAUUCUUUGUAUCCAAUGGAUUUUUGUUAUUUUAAGUAAUAAGAACUAUAUUUUGCAUCCAUAUUUUUAUAAUUUGAUAGUUCAAAGAUCCUGCGCACCUGUAUGGGUAUGUAAGGCCUUCAAUGAAUAAUAAAGUCUCUACUACUGACUGACA